Non-coding RNA from Bombyx mori (domestic silkworm), 84 nucleotides. Lineage: Eukaryota; Metazoa; Arthropoda; Insecta; Lepidoptera; Bombycidae. The record is from Rfam.
UUAACUCAAAUUUGUAUGGAGUUAGAAUGUUUGCCUACGUUUGCCGCUAGGGGUGCUGAUCCAACUCCAUACAAAUUUGAGUUA